This 406-nucleotide ribosomal RNA is filed under the name uncultured bacterium. RNAcentral's name for it is "partial 16S ribosomal RNA". It matches the Rfam family "Bacterial small subunit ribosomal RNA", at positions 30 to 526 of the family's 1533-position model. The record is from RNAcentral.
AUUGAACGCUGGCGGCAGGCCUAACACAUGCAAGUCGUGCGAGCGGCGGACGGGUGAGUAAUGUAUGGGGAUCUGCCUGAUGGCGGGGGAUAACUACUGGAAACGGUAGCUAAUACCGCAUACCAUCAGAUGAACCCAUAUGGGAUUAGCUAGUAGGUGAGGUAACGGCUCACCUAGGCGACGAUCCCUAGCUGGUCUGAGAGGAUGAUCGACCAAACUGGGACUGAGAAACGGCCCGGACUCCUACGGGAGGCAGCAGUGGGGAAUAUUGCACAAUGGGCGCAAGCCUGAUGCAGCCAUGCCGCGUGUAUGAAGAAGGCCUUCGGGUUGUAAAGUACUUUCAGCAGGGAGGCGUUACCCGCAGAAGAAGCACCGGCUAACUCCGUGCCAGCAGCCGCGGUAAUAC